ACCACGAUCCCUGUGGCACUCACAGGUACCACGAUCCCUGUGGCACUCACUGGCCCCAGUUUGCGACGCUGCCAGCCAACAGAUGUCCAUCAAAUUUAAUCCAUGCAAAAAUACCUGUGUGGACAUACAGAGAAACUGAGGCAACCACGGUGAGGGAUGGAUUUGCCUCAUGCUCUAACACAUCACCAAUGUGCAGGUUCUCAUGAUAGGCUUGCCAAGAUGUGACCACAGCAAAUGGCCAGAGGCUGCUUUGGGUUUUUUCCAUCUUCUCGUGAGACGGUUACCAAAGAUU
Catharus ustulatus (Swainson's thrush) is the source of this 292-nucleotide long non-coding RNA. RefSeq lists it as uncharacterized. The record is from RefSeq and is a predicted model, not a curated record. The transcript has 3 exons. NCBI's taxonomy places the organism in Eukaryota, Metazoa, Chordata, Aves, Passeriformes, Turdidae.